Drosophila melanogaster (fruit fly) is the source of this 2905-nucleotide non-coding RNA. NCBI's taxonomy places the organism in Eukaryota, Metazoa, Arthropoda, Insecta, Diptera, Drosophilidae. The record is from Ensembl.
UUUUUAAGAGGUGGGCUAACUUAAUUGGUUUUUUUUUAAGAGAAGGCAUAUGAAAAAAAUGUUUUUAAAGGACAACUAUAAAAACUAAUAAUAAUGGCUAGUCAAACGGUUUCAAUUGAUAAUAUAGGGUGCGGCAGCAUAACGUCCUUUUUUAAAAUGCGGUAACCAUUUAGUUAGUUGAUGACAUAGCAGAGGGCGCUAGUGGUCCCGCCAUCAUGCGUUAAAAUAGUGAGAGCGUGCCUUUGCAUUUGACUCCUACUUUUCAAGCGGAUGUUCGGUUAUUAAAACACAGCGUUCAUUUCGGACCGCACAUCAAAUAUUACAUGUGUGCAAGUGCGACAAAAAGAGGAACUGGAGUCCCUCGGCCCGUUAGAUCACCUGAGAGCAUUGAAGCCGUGAGAGCGUCAAUAUUGCAAUCUUCACGGCGUUUUGCGCGCAAACACGCAUCUGCCCUUAGACUAUCCGAUCGUUCUGUGAGAAGAAUUCUUCAUGAUGAUCUUUAAUUCCAUCCGUAUAAGAUGGCAAUAGUGCAACGGUCCCAAAGGUCCUAGUGUGGUGUGCAAUUUCCUCAGAUGGACUUAUUAUUCUUUAGGUUUAGAAUAGAGGAAAACAAGGUCACAGUGAUUCGGACCGGUAUGUAAAUAUGCUACAGAACCUUUUUUCCUACGGCAAAAAGAGUUGGAUUUGAGGGACACUUGGUUGGCUGUCCGUCAAAUGUAAAUGUCUGUCAUCGUUUCUGACUUACUCCACUUCUCGGGUCAGCACCCAUCUUGAAAAGGUUUAUCUACUUAUUUUUUUGUAGUUAAAUUAAUAACAUAUCUUUAUUUAUUUAUAUACCUCCGACUAUUGCCAUGUUUAAAAAUAAAUUAAAAGCUACAAUGCAAAAGCUACAAAAAGUUAACAACAAUGGUUUUAGAGAAAAGUAUAGAACUCACUACCAAGCCACGGUGCACACGUCAACAAAAGUUGUUGGCUAUUCACGAGUACAAGUGGAAGUGCAAGUCUUUAUGCGUAAAAAAAACUGAUAGUCGCCGCUGAACAGUUAUCUUUAUUUAUAAAAAUUUAGUUAUCAUUAGACAUUUUUUGCUGUCAAUAAAAGGCACUGCCUGGAAGAAGUUAACACUAAACACAACAUUAUAAAAAAAAUAUAUGUAUUUAUCGUAAACAAGAUAAACAAGGUUGGCACGAGAAUAUACAGAGGUGGUCAAAAGUACUGUUUAUGGGCCAAAAAUAGGAGCAUUUAACUGAUCCUUGCCUGUUGACAAAAGUAUUUACACACAAUUUUUACGCGUCAAAAUUAUUUACACAGUGCAAAUUGAGGAUUAGUCUUUGAUUUGCAUUGAGUAAGUGAAGUUCUAGUUGAUGUUGAUCGAAUAAUUGUUAACAGUUAAGUUAAAAGAUAAAACUAAGCAUUUAAUUUGUAAAAUGGCAAAAACAAAGCAGCUAUCAGGUGGGCAUCGAGCCGAGAUUGUCUCUAAACUUAAGACUUGUACUUCUGCAUCCAAAUUAGCUGUGUUGUACAAAAUAUCACGUAAGACUGUGUACAAUUUAGUUAAAAAAAAGGACACAUUGGGAAAUUUGGAAAAUAAAAAGAGAACUGGCCGAAAAGUUGCAUUGAACCCAAAAGACUGCAGACACAUUAUAGGAGUUGUACUCAAGAAUCCCACCAUUAGUCCCGUUAAAAUUGCCCCGGCUUCGAAAAAUUUAAUUGGAAAACAAAUGAAGGAAGUUGACAUCAACUCCCAUGUUAUUCGUGCAGUAGUUGAUAUUAGCCCAAGAAACAAGGAAAAAAGUCUCGCAUUUGCCUUGGAGUAUAAAGAGAAGCCUAUCGAGUUCUGGUUUGAUGUUUUAUGGACUGAUGAAGUUGGGUUUCAGUUUCAGGGAUCCUCUGGCAAAGCAAUGCAUUUCCCAAAGCAACUAAAGGGUAAUGCCGGUUAGCCAAUCAAUCGGUUUGGUGGUGGAGCGGUGAUGUUCUGGAGCUGUUUAAGCUACUAUGGAUCUGGAGACAUGGUACCGAUAGAGGGUACACUAAAUCAAACAGGAUACCUCCAUAUCUUAAAUGAGCAUGCAUUCACCUCAGGAAAUAGACUGUUCUCCAAGAAUGACUGAAUCUUGCAGCAGGACAAUGCUCCAUGCCGAGUACCAACCAAGUUCUUGAAAGACAUAAAUCAGGCGGUACUUCCAUGGCCCGCACAAAGCCCCGAUCUGAACAUUAUCGAAAAUGUCUGGGUUUAUGUUAUGAGUCAGAGGACAUUUGAAAGAGAUCGCCAGCGCGAUAAAAAUAAAAUUACCUCUUGAAUUUGCGCACAACUUGGUCCGGUCAAAGACACUAGAAUAUUCUAGUUAUUCUAGUGUCUUUGGUCCGGUCAAUACCAGCAAGGCUGCAAACAGUCAUUAAUGCCAAAGGCAGAGUAACUAUUUAUUAAUUGGCUUAACAUAAUCACAUAUUAAAAUAAUAGAAAAAAUAUUUCGUUUAAAUUAAAAAAAAACGCAAAAAACAAUUAAAACAGCUGUGUGUCAAUAAUUUUGACGCGUAAAAAUUGUGUGUAAAUACUUUUGACAACAGACAAGGAUCAGUUCAAUGCUUCUAUUUUUAUCCCAUUAACAGUUAUUUUUCCACUUUUGCUUCUGUUUGCUUCUGUAUAGAUGUAAAAGUAUGACAAAUACCGUUAUGUUCGUUUCUGAGUACAAAAGCAGCAGCAAUAAGCGAUCAAAGUUGACAAUUGAAAAAAGAAGCACGUUGUGUAAAUACUUGUGACCACCUCUGUAUGUAUAAGUUAACCAGUUUCCUGUUAUGUUAUGUUUAUAGUAUUUUAAGUCGGUUUCCGCAAGCCGGUGGCUUCACAAUAAAUCCACGACGGAGUAACUUUUAGAAAACUCUUUAUUGAGCAGAGCAAGUGUUGCU